Molecule: ribosomal RNA, 410 nt
Filed under: uncultured microorganism
Description: bacterial SSU rRNA
Rfam family: Bacterial small subunit ribosomal RNA
Source: RNAcentral
CAGCCGCCGCGGUAAUACGUAGGGUGCGAGCGUUAAUCGGAUUUACUGGGCGUAAAGCGUGCGCAGGCGGCCCGUUAAGACAGGUGUGAAAUCCCUGGGCUCAACCUAGGAAUUGCGCUUGUGACUGGCGGGCUCGAGUACGGUAGAGGGGGGUGGAAUUCCUGGUGUAGCAGUGAAAUGCGUAGAGAUCAGGAGGAACACCGAUGGCGAAGGCAGCCCCCUGGGCCUGUACUGACGCUCAUGCACGAAAGCGUGGGGAGCAAACAGGAUUAGAGACCCUGGUAGUCCACGCCCUAAACGAUGGGUACUAGCCGUUUGGUGCGCGAUAGCGCUGAGUGGCGAAGCUAACGCGUGAAGUACCCCGCCUGGGGAGUACGGCCGCAAGGUUGAAACUUAAAGGAAUUGGCGGG